Molecule: long non-coding RNA, 2097 nt
Filed under: Rattus norvegicus (Norway rat)
Lineage: Eukaryota; Metazoa; Chordata; Mammalia; Rodentia; Muridae
Description: long non-coding RNA NONRATT029679
Source: RNAcentral
GGAAGGACCUAAGGACAUACCCUCAAGCCCUAUGAAUAGCAUUCUACUGGUGGAAAAGGGCGGGAGCCUUGUCAUGUAACCUGCAGGUGAUCCUAAAUAGAGCCUCUCACUGGGAGAGAUAUCAUGGAUCCUGGAAUUCUAAGCACUAAUAACCCUGAAGUGAAAGAAACUUUGCCUGCUUGAUCCAGCAUGUCCCACCCCACCCUCCCCAUACAUAAACUGUGAGAUGUCAAAGGGCAUUGGAAAAUUUUUUUCACAAGCCUGGGAAAUACUGGGUUACACUACAGAGAUCCCUGUAUAGCCUGAACUCAGCCCCAACACUGACUUACUGAUGGGACAUCAAUUGGAAACGAGAGACUGGCUGGCCAGAGACAUUUCACUCCUCUCCCUUGGAGGAGCCAGAACAGUACAUCUGUGCAGUGGUGGGAGAGAGGCAGAUCUGGAAGCCUGCCAGGAGUGAAUCACCUUUGUUCUACAGUGUAGGACGUGAAGGAGAAAUGUCACCCAAAGGCCUAAGAACAAAGAAGAGCAAAGCAGUUCUGGGCGAAGGUCAUCCGAAGAGAAAAGUGUCUACAGUAAAAGGCAGGGCAUCAGGAGAGCGGGCUCUCAGACAGGCCUAAGCAGGGCCUGUGCAUCUUGACCAUUUCAGAUGUGAAGACUGCAGGAAGAGCAGCUGACCAGACUCAAAUCCUGUCUACUUAACAGCAUCACCUUUUCACCUCAGCCCCCAAAAAUGCACACAACACCCUCCAACACAUGUGAGCAACUUCAUUCUGGCAAAGAUCAAAAAUCCACAAAUUAUUUGGUUUUAAAAUAUUUACAUGGCAGUAAGUCAGAUGAAAUAUUAAUGCAAAAAAAGAAAUAUUAAUGCAUCCUUUAAGAACUCACAGAAAACUCAUUUUUAGAAAAAAAAUGAGAAUCCCUAGGUACUUAUCACAUAAUGGCUUAUAGAAAACCUAUUCUCAGAGCAACACACACACACACACACACACACACACACACACACACACACACACAUCACACACACCCCUUCUCUUUCUGAAGAAACCAGAAUUCGCCAUCCACAGCUGCCCUGAGAAAAUGAGCAGUGCCACCCGCCCCUAAGGAAAGGCAGCAGAGGACCAGCAAGCAGCAAACUUAAAGCCGGAGGCUGAUCGCAAGUGUCCUAAGAGGUGCGUGUGUCCCUUCCAUCCCGCCCUGCAUCACAGCCAGCUGGAAUUCUGGCUCCUGGGGACAAUGCCUGCUGCCUCCAGAGAAAGACUGGAUAUAAAGAGGAGUGUGCCUCAGUUCACUGUUACUCCUUUUGUCAAAAGGACCGGCAUGUGCUGGUAAUUCUGUCCACACCUCAAGGAUUUCCAAAACCCAGGAAAUGAGGUUCAAAACUUAAACGCCAAGCUCCCAGCAGUAGGCAGUCUCCCCGAGAUCUCUGUCCUCCAAAUUCUAGAAAAGAGACAGCCAGACAUGCACACCCAAAGGACUCCUGCCAGGGAAGCAACAAUGCACCCUGCUGCAACCCAGGGUUGCUGUUUCCGCAGUUCUGGUCAAUCCCUCUGUGGAGAGUUACCUGUGUUACCAGGCUCUUUGUGAUGCUUCUGUGCUCAGAAACCCACAUCCAGAUCCCAGUGCCAAAGAAAAAGACUCAGCUUUCACAAGAGAUGCAAGAGAGGCUGUGCAGAAAUAGAUGGGCUCUACCCUGCUCCUCUUCUCAUUUAUACUGAUGACCUAAAGAAGUGCUAAUUCUACUAUGGUGGGGCUUAGACACUUGGUCUACAACUCAGGGGUGGCAGGGCAGGCAGAUGCUCAGGCAGGAUUUUGGGCUCCGCAGGUAGAAUGACUUGUACCUCUGGCACACACCCAACCCUGCUACUGUACUGCCAACACCAUCACAGAUGUAGAUAGCAUAGCUGUGUCCCAAUGAGACUGCAUUUACAAAAACAGGCAGCAGGCCAUAGCUGGCAGCUUUAUAAGAUGAUCUAGACCUCAGCCUUCCUUCUGCGGAGAAAACCAUCCUGAAUGACAAGUUGGCAUCAAGACAUGAAAGACCCCUGAACUUUCAUAGAAGAAAAGCGAUCAAGACCCCUGCUCUGAAACCUGAGG